GCUGGGAGAGCACCUCCCUUACAAGGAGGGGGUCGGCGGUUCGAUCCCGUCAUCACCC
Molecule: transfer RNA, 58 nt
Filed under: Escherichia coli
Lineage: Bacteria; Pseudomonadati; Pseudomonadota; Gammaproteobacteria; Enterobacterales; Enterobacteriaceae
Description: tRNA-Ser
Source: RNAcentral